Gorilla gorilla gorilla (western lowland gorilla) is the source of this 1697-nucleotide long non-coding RNA. RefSeq lists it as uncharacterized. The transcript has 3 exons. Lineage: Eukaryota; Metazoa; Chordata; Mammalia; Primates; Hominidae. The record is from RefSeq and is a predicted model, not a curated record.
AAGGGAGGCAGCACCUCCAGGCGACGAGUAGAGCUGGGCCCUGGCGGGCUGCCACUGGGGUGUCUGGCAGUCCCUCCUGGGUCUAGCGCUGUUCCUCUGAGGUCUCGAGGUGGUCCUUCGGGUGUGUCUGGGUUGGGAAGAUAAAACCAGUACGUGUAAUGUAAUACAUGACAAUGGAACAUUCUACAUAAUUAAGGGUUAACUCUGAAAUCAGAAGACAAGUUUUCCAAGACUUGGGAAGGUGGAGAGAUCAGAGAUCAGUGAGAGAACAAAGAAUCGGAUGGAGUUUGGCUCUUGUCGCCUAGGCUGGAGUGCAAUGGUGCGAUCUCGGCUCACCGCAACCUCCACCUUCCGGGUUCAAGUGAUUCUCCUGCUUCAGCCUCCCAAGUAGCUGGGAUUACAGGCGCCCACCAUCUCACCCGGCUAAUUUUGUAUUUUUAGUAGAAAUGGGAGUUUCACUAUGUUGGUCAGGCUGGUCUAGAACUCCCAACCUCAGGUGAUCCGCCUGCUUCGGCCUCCCAAAGUGCUGGGAUUACAGGCAUGAGCCACGGCGCCCAGCCUGAUUAUGGUCGUUUAAUCAGCCCUGCAAUCCCCACUCCAUAAUGCCAUCCUGCCAAGCUUCCUGAGCUGCUGUCUUUAAUGUUAGAUGCUGGGGCAGGCAGAAUAGUGCCCCCCAGAUAGCCAUGUCCAACUCCCCAGGCCCUGCCAAUAUGUUACCUUUCAUGGCAAAGGGGAAUCAGGGUUGUAGAUGGAACUGAUGUUGCUGUGGAAUAACAAGAAAGAUAUUUGGUCAUUGUCCCUGGUUUCAGGCACAAAGCUCUAAACCCUUGGAAUUUUGAGCAAUAGAGUGUUAAGAGCCUCUUUUGUUUUAAUGAGGCAACUCUUGUACUUAGCUUCAGGGUGGGAGCUGGCUGCCAGAAAGACCAAGCUUGAUUAGAAGAUCAGCAUUUCCUGCACCCCCUCCCCCAACCUCCAGGGAAGGGAGAGUGGCUGGAGAUUGAGCUGAUCACCAGUGGCCACAGUCAAACCUAUGGACUGAAGCCUCCAUAGAAACCCCUAAAUGAUGGGGUUCAGGGAGCUUCCAAGUUGGCAAACACAUCCUCAUCCCAGAGGGUGGUGCACCCCACCUUGACUGAGACAGUGGCUUCUGCACUCGGGACUUACCUUGUCCCGGGUACUUCUUCAUCUGGUUGUUCAUUUGUACCCUUUAUAAUAAACGGUAAGAGUAAGCACAGCUUUUCCUGAGUUCUAUGAGUCAUUCUAGAAAAUUAUUUAACCUUGGGGUAAUGAGGUAGUUGAAACCUCUUUGUAGGAACUUUCCUUUGUAGGUCAAUCAGCAGAAGUUAGGCUAACCUGGGAACCCAGUCCUUUCUUUGGUGUCUAAGGACAGUCUUGUGCGACUGUGGAGUCACACAAGAACUCCAGGUAGUGUCAGAAAGGAAUUGAAUUGUAGGACACCGAGCUGGCAUCAGAGAGUUGGAGAAGUGGUGUUGGAAAAGACACGUUUGAUGUCAAGAGGAAGAAAAAACCCUCAGUUUUUUUUUUUUUUUUUUUUUGAGAUGGAGUUUCACUCUUGUUUCCCAGGCUGGAGUGCAAUGGCACGAUUUCAGCUCUCUGCAACCUCUGUCUCCCGAGCUCAAGCAAUUCUCCUGCCUCAGCCUCCCGAGUAGCUGGGAUUACAGGUGCCCACCACCACG